This 64-nucleotide transfer RNA is filed under the name Ampullaceana lagotis. RNAcentral's name for it is "tRNA-Ala". The record is from RNAcentral. Lineage: Eukaryota; Metazoa; Mollusca; Gastropoda; Lymnaeidae.
GGUUAAAUACUUUAAAAGAAGAAGAAAUAGUUUGCAACUAUUAAGUAGGGUCUCCUUUUAACCA